CCUUGUGAUUUGCCUGCCUCAGCCUCCCAAAGUGCUGGGAUAACAGGCGUGAGCCACCACGCCCAGCUUCAAAAGUUUUCAACAGAGCUCAGAGGUCUUAACCACAGGCACAUCCGAGGAGCAUUUUUGAAAUGGUUUCCAGCUUCCUCAAUAGGAAUGGAAGCCAAACCCGGAACUGAUGGCUCCUUGGAGGAAGUCGAGAGCUGUAAGGAAAGCCAGGAACAGGGGCAAGGGAGAGAUGCAUCCCGAAUGAUCCUGUGCCAAUUCUUUCUGGAAUCUUUGAUGUGAUCUCCGCUGCCCUUUCCAUACUUGACACAGUGAUUGUGGCACCCACUGGUCUAGCUGUGGUCUACAAGGAACCCCCAAAGGGAAGGGCACAGUGAGCAGGGGCAUCGGCCUGAGUGACAAGGAUUGGAGGGGGCAGGUUGGAUGCAGGGAGAGGACUGGCCAAAUGCCAUGUGUCUGGCUUAGACUACCUUGUUCAAAUUGGGCUUCACCAUUUUUGACUUCGUGAUCUGGUACAAGUUAUAUGAAAAUGUGUUGCUCCUUUUCUAGUCUGUAAAAUCAUAAGGAAAUGUGCACUAAUAACUGGGAGACUAUGCAGAUGAAAUGAAACAAGCUGCAUAGAACACAGAGCUCAGAGCCUGGCCUUUAGGAAGCCCUCAGUAAGGGUUCAUGAUGCCAUGGUGUCUGUCAUCAUCCUCUUUAUCCUCAUCAUCACCUUCAUCAUCUUUUUGUUGUUCUGAGGGCAUACUUUAGAGGGACUCAUUCCCUGCUCUCAUGGGUGAGAUGUCUAUGAAGAGGACAACCAGUGGGGGAGGGAAGCAAAAUUUUGAAGAAGAUUCCUGAGAGAGAUCCCCCACCACAACCAAGAACAGAAACUCCACAGUCUGCUGAGCUGACAGUUUGCACAUUGGUCUCCUCCCAUCUGCCCACGGCACUCUCCCGUUUGUCCUGAAGAUGAGGAAACAAACAAGGCUCCCGACCGUCCCUCAGCACUCACUGAACGGCCCUUCCCCUCUGCUGGGCCAUGACCACGGAGAACAGGUCCACUGUCCUCCCUGAGUGGUGCACAUGGGAGGCUCAGACUCCGUCCUCAAGGCUGGUAAGAAGACAGGGUGAGACAUGAGCCUCCUGAUACAGGUGACGGGUGUGGAGCCCACAGGACUGCAACCUCACACUGCAGGGCUGGAGGCACAGACUGAGUAUUUCCUAUUCUAUGGCCUGGGGGGCUCAAGGCACAGAGCUCCUCAUUAGCCAGAGUCGCCCAUGUUCCCCAUGCUCUAAGGAUUUCCUCAUCAUCAUGCAAGAAGAAGAAUAGAAAAAAGGAAGAGGAAGAAACAAAAGGAACUUCUCUCUUAGAUUUAAUUCUGACCUACCAGGAAGAACUGGAUUGUUGAAGCAGAAGUACUGGAGUCUCUGGAGCUAAAACCAAGGAUAAGAACAUUAAGAUUAUCCUGCUGGAGAGAGAGGCCAUGCGGAAGAACCCUGGAAAAUGAGACAGCUCACAGAGCAAGAGGCCAUGUGGAGAAGGCCUAGAAGUAAAAUGCCUCAUGGAACAAGAGGCCACAUGCAGAAGGCCUGGAGGAUGAGACGCCCUGUGAAGUGAGAGGCCACGUGGAGAAGGCCUAGAGGAGGAGACACCUUAUGGAGCAAGAGGCCGAAUGGAGAAGCCCCAGAGGGUUAGACACCUUGUGGAGCAAGAGGUCACACGCAGAAGUCCUGGGAGUGAGAUGCCUCACGAAGCGAGAUGCCUCGUGAAGCGAGAUGCCUCGUGGAGUGAGAGGCCAUGUGGAAGAACCCUGGAACUCAGCGGCUGAUAACACAAAGAUCCCAUGGUGUGAGAGAGGCCUUCAUGAACUUCCCGUCCAGCCCAGCUAGAGCCAAAUGGAGCCAUAUGUGUGACCGCAAGUGACAUCUACAAAAGAACGACCCAGUCACCCUGAGAAUUGUUAGAAAUGCAAAGCACUAAGUUUUGGGGUAGUUUGUUACACAGCAAUAGCUAACUGAUACAGAUGGUUUGAAUUACUUGACUUUAAAGUUCCUUCUUACCCUGAAAGUUUAUGGCUUAGUAAAGUGAAUUAAGCACAUUUGACUGAAACAGAGAGAUGGUGUAGGAAAAGAUCAGAAGGUAAGGGCAGGGCAAGGUGAGGAAGGCUUUCCGUGCCACGAUAAGGAAUUUGAGCUUUAACUGGUAGGUUCUGAAGCUGUCCCAGGAGGAAGUGACAUGAGAAGAUAGUUUUUUAGGAAGACCCACACUGCAGCAGCAUGUAGAUCAGACACGUGGGCACACAGAGCAGAUGUGAGAGAGAAGGAGGCAUGGAGACCUGAUUGCUGAGGCAAAAAGAUGCAGCUGACAAUUAUGGAGCAACAAGCUACUGAAUACAGAAUUGAACAUUCAGUCUUCAAGACACAGAUGUAAGCUGCUUUCUCUGUAUCAGCCUUCUCUGUAUCAACUCUUCAUUUUUUCCAACUAUGAUGUUUUUACUUUCAAAAAUCCAUGGGAGAAUACAUGGUAUGUCGUUAAAAGCCUGGGAUUUGAAAUAAGAAAGCCUUAGCUUUAAACCCCUUCUCUCACCUUCUAGCUGUGUAACUCUGGGCAAGUUACUGAACCUUGCUGUAUCGCAGCUUCUUCAUUUGUAAAAUGGAUAUAAUGAUAUUUGUCUCACAGGAGUAAUGCAAAGAUAAAAACGGAUUAUGUCUCAUGCAUUUACUUUUACUAAAUGGCUAAAUGCUCAAGCAACACAAAUACAUGAUUAUUUCUCUUUCACGUAACAGUCCAGGUUGGGAGUGUCAGGUUGAGGGGUGGAUCUUUUUCACAUCUUCUUGAAAGAAUUCGUGGUAAAAGCUGUCUUCAGUUUAUGCCUUCCAAGGUUCUUUUGGCCAUCGCCAUUCCAGAAAGAAGAGGAGAAGAGAGCAUGAAGGAGCCCGCCUAACAUGUUUUAUCUGGCUUCUCAGAAAUGGCACAUGCUUCUACUUGCAUUCCAUUGGCAAGAACACACGGCACACCAGCUGCCCACGGGGAUAGGGAAUCCCAGCUAGAAUUCCAUCCAAUAGAAGACAGAGGGGAGAGAAGAGCAGGGUAUUGAUAUUUUAGAUCUGCAGUUGAUUGACUCCACAAAUGUGAAACUGGUGGAAACAGGGCCAGCUGUUUUCGACAGAUAUCCUCUCUUUGAGGAAAAAUGGCUUGAUCUUUUGUCCAAGGAAGUUAGAAAACUGUAUCCACGCAAUUCAUCCAUUUAUUCCUCAAGCAUGUGUUAAGCGUUUGGCGAUGCUUCACGAUGUUGGACUCUGGACAUUCACAGAAGAUGAACACAUCUCACAAAAGGUGAAAAUGUUUAAAUCACCUGGGAUAAAGAACAUUCAGGGUUGAAAGAAUACAUGUUUGGUUAUAAUACUGCUUAUUAAGCAAGUAGAAAAUUAGAGUAAAUAUCAGCCCUUUAAGAAGACAGAUCUUCCAGAGAGCCUUAAAGGCAAGGUGGGCAUUUGAUGGUUUUAUCUGGGAACAUGCACUCCAGGUUCACCGUGAGCAGGUGAGAGACAUGGCUACACCUCUGAAAUGCUGCAAGUUCAUUUUUGAAGGAUUUGUCAUAGUAAAACAGAAAAAGUUCCCUUAUCCCCCUUACAGGGCGUGACAAGGGGAGUGGCUCCCUUCUUCCGCGCCCUGCAGCCUAAACCCCUAGGGAGAGCAUGCAGUCGGGCAGGUAGUAGGGAGCGUGGGCUCCAACCCCACCGCAGCGUCUAGGGUUGAGUGUUUACAGUUUUCGAAGCCCCGGUGAGCGUGUGUUGCAGCGUGCUUUUUCAGCUUAGCCAUCCGCAGGCGGCUUGUAUUAAUCAGCUCAAUUAGACCCUCUGCCUUAUCGCAAGGACAGAGGGCUUUUUGUAUCCUGGGGUUCUUGCCUAGUGUACUGGAAAAAUCUGAUCAUACAUGGGCUUGGAGAAUGAGUGCAAGGUUUUAUUGAGUGGUGGAAGUAGCUCUUAGCAGAUGGAUGGGAAGCCGGAAGAGGGAUGGAGUGGGAAGGGGUCUUCCCCUGGAGUCAGGCCGCUCAGUGGCUGGGCUUGCUUCUGACUGCCCUCUGCCAAAUUUCCCUCAGCGUCUGCGUGGUUCCACCGUCGAUGGCCUGCUAGUGUUUUUCUGCGAGUGUGUUCCUCUCGACGCCCAGCUGCUUGUACAUGUGCCCACUAGGGUCUCUCGGGUUUCUAUGGGCAUGGGAUGGCGGGGGGUUGUGGCGGGCCAGGGUGGUCUUGGAAAAUGCAACUUUUGGGCGUGAAAACAGGAAUGCCUGUCCUCACUUAGGUCCGUGGGCACAGGCCUGAGGGUGGAGCCCUGGCCAGGGACCCCAUCCUUCUCUACCCAGCACCUCCCUGCCCCCUCCCGUAUCAAUAGCAAUGAUGAAGGACUCACGCAGCCAUCUUUUCAGGAGCAUGUGACAGCCUGCAUGACCGGAGCCAAUGGUGAAUGUUUAAAUUCUGGGUCCCGAAGCAAUAUCUUGGGAAGGGCCUUCCUCUGUCCCACAGCUUCUAAAAAUGUUCUGUGCUUAUAGUAUUGGCUCAGUUUUGUGGAUGUGUUUCUGGGAUUAUUCAGUGACCUCAGACAGGCUGCUCCAAGUCUCCCUGGACCACCUGCGUAGUUCAGCCAUAUUCUACAGUGAGCACUUAGAACAGGACAUGCAGGGGCUACACAGGCAUCAAGGCUGGCUGAUUCCACAGAGCAAGAAUGUCAACAAGGAUCCAGCUUAUUUUUGCCUCUUCACCCCACCAUCUUUUAUGUCAGCCUCGUCCUCAGGGAAGUAGGAUGCAACAGUUCCAGCUGGACACGACAAUACUCACAGGAAGACGAAAGAGACUCUUAUUGCUGCUGUAUCGUGGGAACCUUGUCCCCGAUGCCCAUCAGGGUCAACUAUUUACAUGGGAAGGAAAAACAUACCCCGCAACUACAACCUGAUGUCAGUACCAAGAGCAGUAUGCAAACGACUAUUACGGGCGCUCAGAAGCAUCACAAUGGAAGGGAAGUUGCAGCUGCCUAUACCCACACCCACAUCUUGUCUACCUGCCUGCUGCGUCACAGCCUGGCUGCAUUACUGGGCUCACUUCAGUUCCAAGAAAGCUUCCAGAAAUCAUGGCAGGCACACCUGCAGUGAGCAGAUCUGUGUCUACUUGUCCUUUAAGUGGACACCACUUUUCUGUUCAGAGCACAGAUCAAUGUGUCAGACAGAGCUCUUGGAUGACAAUAUUGUCCUGGCAGGGAUCCAGAGCGGCUGGGGAUAGAGAAUAUUAAAUGGGUCUGGUGCAGAACAGUUGAGGUGUGACUGGAUGUGACAGAGGACAGCACCUCUUUGACAAUGACAUUAUGUGAGUUUGGGUGGGCUCUCAGCUCAGGUUUCAGAUGGCCAGGCAUCUGUUGCUGGCCGCCAUUCUGUUGACAUUUUACAUUUUGUGACCAUAAAUUAACUUUGGAAGAAGUUGAUAGACAAGUAGGUCAUUAUUUGGGUGUUCCUGUGUUUCUCAUAACAUUUUAAAUUCAGUCAGGGCAGAAAAUAUAUAUGUCUUUCCUUUAUACCAUUACCCUAAUCCCUGGCACAUGGUGGGUUUCCUCUUGACUUUAGUGGAACGUGCCUGGACCUUAACAAUCCCAACACCCCACCUUCCCCGCAACCCUGUCUUCUUCCCCAUCUCUCCAGCUGGCUUCCUGCCUUGUUUUCUCCUCACAUAGAUUUAACAGAUGCUCUGAGCCCCGCAGUGCACUUCAGUUCUAUUCUCUGCACUCGCCAUGGCACUUGGCACCAUUAACUGCAGCUCUCUCUGCCUUGACAUCUGCACCCCACUCUCCCCUGUGUGUUUUUUCUUUGGGGGUUUCUUAUCAGGCGCCUCUUCUUUAAAUGCUUGUUUUCCUUUGAGCCCUGUCCAAAGCUCUAGGUUCCAUUUUCCACUUUCUACGUUCUAUCUGGUCCUUCAUUCAAAUUUACAGCUCACAUCUCUGCUUUUGCCUCUAGCCCAGAUCUCUCUCUCUCUCUCUCUCUCUCUCUCUCUCUCUGUCUUUCAAACCUUACACAACUUGAGACAUCUUCACUCACAUAUCCUGCAGGUACACCGAACUCAACAUGGUCAAUACAGGAGACAGUCUCUCACCCCAAAAUGGAAUUUCUCUCUUUUUAAAGGAAACCAGCAUUCAUAAGCCAGAAGCCAAUCUGGAUUUUGUCUGGAAACUCAAGUAUAAGACCUAGCACCACUUGCCAAGGACCUCUGCUUUGCUUUGGUAGGCCAAGGGUCUGGCUCUGUUACCCAGGCUGGAUUGCAGUGG
RNAcentral lists this long non-coding RNA (6301 nucleotides) under Homo sapiens (human). RNAcentral's name for it is "HSALNT0376963". Lineage: Eukaryota; Metazoa; Chordata; Mammalia; Primates; Hominidae. The record is from RNAcentral.